GCAAGUCGAACGGUAACAGAACUAGCUUUCUUGUUGCUGACGAGUGGCGGACGGGUGAGUAAUGCUUGGGAAUUUGCCUUUAGGUUGGGGACAACAGUUGGAAACGACUGCUAAUACCGCAUGAUAGCUACGGCUCAAAGUGGGCUUCGGCUCCCGCCUUUAGAGAAGCCCAAGUGGGAUUAGGUAGUUGGUGAGGUAAAGGCUCACCAAGCCCACGAUCCCUAGCUGGUCUGAGAGGAUGAUC
This 244-nucleotide ribosomal RNA is filed under the name uncultured bacterium. RNAcentral describes it as "partial 16S ribosomal RNA". It matches the Rfam family "Bacterial small subunit ribosomal RNA", at positions 57 to 305 of the family's 1533-position model. The record is from RNAcentral.